Molecule: ribosomal RNA, 328 nt
Filed under: uncultured eukaryote
Lineage: Eukaryota
Description: partial 18S ribosomal RNA
Rfam family: Eukaryotic small subunit ribosomal RNA
Source: RNAcentral
CCCUUAGAUGUCCUGGGCCGCACGCGCGUUACACUGAUGCAUUCAACGAGCUUAUAACCUUGGCCGAGAGGCCUGGGCAAUCUUGUUAACGUGCAUCGUGAUAGGGAUAGAUUAUUGAAAUUAUUAAUCUUGAACGAGGAAUUCCUAGUAAACGCAGAUCAUCAAUCUGCAUUGAUUACGUCCCUGCCCUUUGUACACACCGCCCGUCGCACCUACCGAUUGGAUGGUCCGGUGAAGCCUCGGGAUUGUGGUUCUUGCCGCUUUAUUGUGGCGUGACCGCGAGAACUUGUCUAAACCUUAUCAUCUAGAGGAAGGUGAAGUGGUAACA